UACGUAGGUGGCAAGCGUUGUCCGGAUUUACUGGGCGUAAAGAGCGCGCAGGCGGUCGUUCAAGUCGCGUGUGAAAGCCCCCGGCUCAACUGGGGAGGGUCACGCGAUACUGAUCGACUCGAAGGCAGGAGAGGGAAGUGGAAUUCCCGGUGUAGCGGUGAAAUGCGCAGAUAUCGGGAAGAACACCCGUGGCGAAGGCGGCUCUCUGGAACGCAACUGACGCUGAGACGCGAAAGCGUGGGGAGCAAACAGG
RNAcentral lists this ribosomal RNA (253 nucleotides) under uncultured bacterium. RNAcentral describes it as "partial 16S ribosomal RNA". It matches the Rfam family "Bacterial small subunit ribosomal RNA", at positions 524 to 776 of the family's 1533-position model. The record is from RNAcentral.